This 497-nucleotide ribosomal RNA is filed under the name uncultured bacterium. Its description in RNAcentral is "partial 16S ribosomal RNA". It matches the Rfam family "Bacterial small subunit ribosomal RNA", at positions 28 to 507 of the family's 1533-position model. The record is from RNAcentral.
GAUGAACGCUGGCGGCGUGCCUAAUACAUGCAAGUCGAGCGAACGGACGAGAAGCUUGCUUUUCUGAUGUUAGCGGCGGACGGGUGAGUAACACGUGGAUAACCUACCUAUAAGACUGGGAUAACUUCGGGAAACCGGAGCUAAUACCGGAUAAUAUUUUGAACCGCAUGGUUCAAAAGUGAAAGACGGUCUUGCUGUCACUUAUAGAUGGAUCCGCGCUGCAUUAGCUAGUUGGUAAGGUAACGGCUUACCAAGGCAACGAUGCAUAGCCGACCUGAGAGGGUGAUCGGCCACACGGGAACGGAGACACGGUCCAGACUCCUACGGGAGGCAGCAGUAGGGAAUCCUCCGCAAUGGGCGAAAGCCUGACGGAGCAACGCCGCGUGAGUGAUGAAGGUCUUCGGAUCGUAAAACUCUGUUAUUAGGGAAGAACAUAUGUGUAAGUAACUGUGCACAUCUUGACGGUACCUAAUCAGAAAGCCACGGCUAACUACGUG